UGUCCAGACUCCUACGGGAGGCAGCAGUGAGGAAUAUUGGUCAAUGGCCGAGAGGCUGAACCAGCCAAGUCGCGUGAGGGAGGACGGCCCUACGGGUUGUAAACCUCUUUUGUCAGGGAGCAAGGGACAGGUCGUGACCUGUUGUGAGAGUACCUGAAGAAAAAGCAUCGGCUAACUCCGUGCCAGCAGCCGCGGUAAUACGGAGGAUGCGAGCGUUAUCCGGAUUUAUUGGGUUUAAAGGGUGCGCAGGCGGCGAUGCAAGCCAGGAGUGAAAGCCCGGGGCCCAACCCCAGGACUGCUCUUGGAACUGCGUGGCUGGAGUGCAGGAGGGGCAGGCGGAAUUCCUGGUGUAGCGGUGAAAUGCGUAGAUAUCAGGAGGAACACCGGUGGCGAAGGCGGCCUGCUGGACUGCAACUGACGUUGAGGCCCGAAAGCGUGGGGAGCAAACAGGAUUAGAUACCCUAGUAGUU
RNAcentral lists this ribosomal RNA (470 nucleotides) under uncultured bacterium. RNAcentral describes it as "bacterial SSU rRNA". It matches the Rfam family "Bacterial small subunit ribosomal RNA", at positions 328 to 795 of the family's 1533-position model. The record is from RNAcentral.